Molecule: ribosomal RNA, 371 nt
Filed under: uncultured bacterium
Lineage: Bacteria
Description: bacterial SSU rRNA
Rfam family: Bacterial small subunit ribosomal RNA
Source: RNAcentral
GUAGGGUGCAAGCGUUAAUCGGAAUUACUGGGCGUAAAGCGUGCGCAGGCGGUGAUGUAAGACAGUUGUGAAAUCCCCGGGCUCAACCUGGGAACUGCAUCUGUGACUGCAUCGCUGGAGUGCGGCAGAGGGGGAUGGAAUUCCGCGUGUAGCAGUGAAAUGCGUAGAUAUGCGGAGGAACACCGAUGGCGAAGGCAAUCCCCUGGGCCUGCACUGACGCUCAUGCACGAAAGCGUGGGGAGCAAACAGGAUUAGAUACCCUGGUAGUCCACGCCCUAAACGAUGUCAACUGGUUGUUGGGGAUUCACUUCCUCAGUAACGAAGCUAACGCGUGAAGUUGACCGCCUGGGGAGUACGGCCGCAAGGUUGAA